Musa acuminata subsp. malaccensis (wild Malaysian banana) is the source of this 2243-nucleotide non-coding RNA. The record is from RefSeq and is a predicted model, not a curated record. Lineage: Eukaryota; Viridiplantae; Streptophyta; Magnoliopsida; Zingiberales; Musaceae.
UCGAACAAGUCUACAGUGCUCCUACUCGACGCCAUUCCAUGUUUGGCCACCUAAAAACGGUCCUCGAGGGCAAGUCUUAUAAUGGAAAAUCUGCAUAAUUUAGUCACUCUUGAUUAAUUGUUAAGAUGUUUCAUCUCACUUUGCCUUCUGGAACAUCCUUGCAUUCUUGACUAACCAAGGUAAAAUUAAUAAGGUCUUGGCCAGGCAUAUUAGUUUGUGUGUGCUGCUUGUUUUUGUCCUAAUAAUUGAGAUCAAAUAUGGCAAAAACAGAGUCUAAUUCAGUUACUUAAUAUGAAUCUACAAUAAUGCUCCUCUAGGCCUAAAUUUACUCGUGGAACAUAAAACUCAGAUGCCCUAACAAAAAAAAAAAGAGAGAACUACGCAUGGCUAGUUUGAAAAAUUAUCGAGGGUCAUAAUUUGAAUAAUGUAUCUGAACAAAAUUCUGAUGCUGACUGAGAUCUAAUUUGGCUCAACUGUUUAAUAAUAGUAGUUCUCUUCUUGCACUGGUAGUUAUCUAUUUUAUUCCUCUUAUCUCCCUCAUUUUACUUAGAAAUCUAUUCUAAGAACUGUAAACUUGUGACGUAUGCAAAUAAAUUUUGCUCCUGGUGUGAAAUUAUGCCAUGUGUUUGAUUUUUGUUGCGGAGAGCCAUUCGGAGACUAGGCAUAUGAGAAAGUUAAUAGGAUUCUGAUGCUGAUAUUUAGAUUUGGCUGAACUGACUGAGAAAAGAUUAUUGUCUUCUUGCACCACUGGUUGUUCUCUAUCUGUGAUAUCCUUCUGUUUGCAUAAUAAAAUAAUGCAUAGAACUGUAAUGUCCAUGUAUGCAAAUGAAUUCUUGGCCUACUGUGAAUUUUGCCAUGUGUAUUUGAUUAACUCAAGCUUGUACUGAAUGAAUCCUGUAGCAACUUCCAGGAAAUGUGCUAUAACUAAAAUUCAUCUCUUCAAUAUGUUCAAUCUUUUGUGAUUAGGUGACCUAUAAGUUUUUUCUUCAUUCUUGAAAUGUUGUGCCUUUGGUGCCUUUGCUUGUCUGUGUCAUCUUUUACAUCACAUCCUGUCAUAUACGUGAUUUAGGAAUUUGAUAAUACUUAAAAUGCUUAUGUGAUGGUACCUGCUUUUCCUUUAACAUUUAUGCAAAUAAAAUUUCAUUAGUAGAUUUUCGAAGCAUUUUUCCUGUUUUAUUUAAGGUGAAUACUCUAUUACAUUUUUUUUAAUAUUUGAAAAAUACAAAAUGAGCUUUUCUUUAUUUCUUUUUGCUGUAUGAGGAACUAAGCCUAUAUCUAAUACUCACAAUUUCUUUUUGGUAUUAUUGACUUAACGAGUCACUUAUCUCGUGCUAUGGUUGCUUACCUCAGUGAGUGACAAUAACCAAGCAAAAAAAUAUACAAUUUUGUUCUUGAGAGCCAUCCAGAGAUUAGAUAUAUGAUAGUCGACAUCCGCUUUGGGCAAUAGGCAGUUAUGUUAGACCAAAUAAGAAAAUAAGGUACAUUCUAAAUGUUGACAAGACAAGCAUAUAUUACUAAUGUUCAUGCUAAGUGCGCUUUACAUGGAUGAAAAAAGAGUAGUGUUAAUUCAUAUUAUGGUUGUCCAAUGUAAAGAGUAGUGGUGUCAAGCAAGCAAAAUGUCCAAGCCAAGUCAUGCAAAACUACGUUGGAGACUCUACCCGGUAAAAACCCCUUGAAAGCGUAACUUCAUAUGGGGGUUCAGGGGAUUUAGUUAAAUGGCGAAUCAACAUAGUGCAAUUUGUGUAUAUGAGAGAGAGAUCAAGGUGCACCUUGGGGCCCUUAUAUAGGGUGGUAAACUACUAUUGAGCUUAGGGUUGUAGUUUAUGUUGCGAACGGGUUACAGACAUUGUCCGACCAUAAAUGAGAUGAGGUCAUGAGAUUGUGCAUCAAAUCUGGGGAUCACGGAGUAACGACUACAUCGAGUAGGCCUCCAUUGGUGCCACGCAAUUCGUCUCAUGGGUUCAGGUAUCUUAUGACACAUCAACCAAAACAGUUGAGGUGUCGACAAAGUGAUGAUAAGAUGUUGACCAAAUAGCGGCGAUGUAUCGGUCAGGUGGUGACGAUGUGCUGGCUAAGAGAUGAUGACAUGUUAGCCAUAUGUUGAUGAAGUGUGUCCACAUGUUAUCGUCCCCAUAUCAUGGCAAAUUUCAUUUUACUCGUCUUUGAUGCCGUCGUUAAUUGAUCAUGAAUUUGUUAACGAGACCCAAAUGGCGAUUAACUAAACAAGAAACUUUUAUGUCAAA